UGCCCACUGAUAUAAAUAUUAAAGGGCUGCAGUAAUUUGACUGUACAAAGGUAGCAUAAUCAUUAGUCAUUUAAUUGAUGACUUGUAUGAAGGAUUGGAUGAAAUAUAAACUGUCUUUAUAAUAUUAUAUAGAAUUUAAUUUUUUAAUUAAAAAGUUAAAAUAAAUAAAAAAGACGAGAAGACCCUAUAGAGUUUUAUUAUUGAUUAAAUUAAUAUUAUUUAUAAAUAUGAGAGAUUAAAAUUAAAUUAAUAAUUUUGUUGGGGUGAUAAAAAAAUUAAAUGAACUUUUUUAAUAAUAAGAACAUGAAUAAGUGAUUUAUUGAUCCAUGAAUAAUGAUUAAAAGAGAAAAUUACCUUAGGGAUAACAGCGUAAUUUUUUUUUUUAGUUCAGAUAAAAAAAAAAGUUUGCGACCUCGAUGUUGGAUUAAGAUAAAAUUUAAAUGUAGAAGUUUAA
Molecule: ribosomal RNA, 454 nt
Filed under: Aroa sp. S25
Lineage: Eukaryota; Metazoa; Arthropoda; Insecta; Lepidoptera; Erebidae
Description: partial large subunit ribosomal RNA
Source: RNAcentral